GAUCCUGGCUCAGGAUGAACGCUAGCUACAGGCUUAACACAUGCAAGUCGAGGGGCAGCAUGGUCUUAGCUUGCUAAGGCCGAUGGCGACCGGCGCACGGGUGAGUAACACGUAUCCAACCUGCCGUCUACUCUUGGACAGCCUUCUGAAAGGAAGAUUAAUACAAGAUGGCAUCAUAAGUUCGCAUGUUCACAUGAUUAAAGGUAUUCCGAUAGACGAUGGGGA
This 225-nucleotide ribosomal RNA is filed under the name uncultured bacterium. Its description in RNAcentral is "partial 16S ribosomal RNA". It matches the Rfam family "Bacterial small subunit ribosomal RNA", at positions 15 to 231 of the family's 1533-position model. The record is from RNAcentral.